This 677-nucleotide unclassified non-coding RNA is filed under the name Hevea brasiliensis (rubber tree). Lineage: Eukaryota; Viridiplantae; Streptophyta; Magnoliopsida; Malpighiales; Euphorbiaceae. The record is from RNAcentral.
GUUUUUUUUUUAAUUUCUUUUUAAUUUAUUUUUAUAUGCUUAUAUUCCCUGGAAAUUGGCAUAAAUAUAUUAGAAAAGAACAAUUUUCAUUGCAUUACAAAGCACAUGAGUUUUAGCUCUGGAGUUGUUUCCAGGGGGCCAUGUCAAAGCCAAAAAAAAAAAAAAAGCACAAGAAUGGGCAUCAUGAAGACAAAAUCACCCCCAGUUUUCUUGGAAGGAAUAAAAGGCAGUAGUUUGGACACAAAAAAAUUAGAGCUAUUCCUACCAAUCAGUAGCCUUGUUGGCUUUCCUACUAGCUAGUCUAAUGGAGGCUGAAAGGGGGGUAGUCCAUGUCGUCCAUUCCUUGAGAGUUUUAGCUUCUGUUCUAUUGACCUUGCUAAUUUCAUAGAUUUAAUGGGAGCAAGAAUUCACGAACAGUUUUGAUGAUUUUGUUACUCAUACUUGUUUUACAGGUAUUACGUUGUUGAUGAAUGUUGAGAGGGUGUAUUCUAAGAUUUAACAAUAGAGUUUUGAAUUGAUUGUCUGAUUAAUUUAAUUUUAUGUGUAUGCAUUUUUUUGGCAUUCCAGGAGAGGGCACACGAGUAUUACAAUGGAAUGACCAAGGAUCAGUUCAGGAAGAUGCAGGAGUUCAUAGCUGGUCGAAGUGCAAAGAAACCUUCUUCCAAGUUGUAGAUUAU